Molecule: ribosomal RNA, 723 nt
Filed under: uncultured bacterium
Lineage: Bacteria
Description: bacterial SSU rRNA
Rfam family: Bacterial small subunit ribosomal RNA
Source: RNAcentral
GGAUAACACUUGGAAACAGGUGCUAAUACCGUAUAACACUAUUUUCCGCAUGGAAGAAAGUUGAAAGGCGCUUUUGCGUCACUGAUGGAUGGACCCGCGGUGCAUUAGCUAGUUGGUGAGGUAACGGCUCACCAAGGCCACGAUGCAUAGCCGACCUGAGAGGGUGAUCGGCCACACUGGGACUGAGACACGGCCCAGACUCCUACGGGAGGCAGCAGUAGGGAAUCUUCGGCAAUGGACGAAAGUCUGACCGAGCAACGCCGCGUGAGUGAAGAAGGUUUUCGGAUCGUAAAACUCUGUUGUUAGAGAAGAACAAGGAUGAGAGUAGAACGUUCAUCCCUUGACGGUAUCUAACCAGAAAGCCACGGCUAACUACGUGCCAGCAGCCGCGGUAAUACGUAGGUGGCAAGCGUUGUCCGGAUUUAUUGGGCGUAAAGCGAGCGCAGGCGGUUUCUUAAGUCUGAUGUGAAAGCCCCCGGCUCAACCGGGGAGGGUCAUUGGAAACUGGGAGACUUGAGUGCAGAAGAGGAGAGUGGAAUUCCAUGUGUAGCGGUGAAAUGCGUAGAUAUAUGGAGGAACACCAGUGGCGAAGGCGGCUCUCUGGUCUGUAACUGACGCUGAGGCUCGAAAGCGUGGGGAGCGAACAGGAUUAGAUACCCUGGUAGUCCACGCCGUAAACGAUGAGUAUAGAGUGUUGGAGGGUUUCCGCCCUUCAGUGCUGCA